RNAcentral lists this long non-coding RNA (664 nucleotides) under Ricinus communis (castor bean). RNAcentral describes it as "long non-coding RNA (RCOM_LNC001270)". The record is from RNAcentral. Lineage: Eukaryota; Viridiplantae; Streptophyta; Magnoliopsida; Malpighiales; Euphorbiaceae.
ACAAGAACAGGAAGAAGGAGAAGAAAAAGCUUGGGGGCUACCAUCAAUAGCAAACAGAGGAGGAGAGCGAGUGAGAGACGGUGAGGGUGGCUAAAGGAAGAAGAGACGACAGCGAGCACGAUAGCAGCACCACUGGAGAUGAUCAACGAUAAUAAAAGGCAGAAACUGGCAAGAAAGGAAAGCAACUUGGUGCCAUUCAGGGGUGACUCUAGCAACCAUUAGCGACAAUUUUGGUCCAAAAUGACUAGCAGCUUGUGGGCUUUCAUUUCUGCCUCUUAGCACCCCUUAAGGCUAUCAAAAUAUCGAGAUACGACAAGAGGAGCACAUGUAAGAAAGUUCGUUUUCCACUUUUCUGGCCAAUGCCAUCGUGCUUCAGAUGAUCAGAGGUCACAUUCGGGACCUACGCAUCGUAAGCUUUCUAUUGACACCCAUUUAGUAGCGAUCGGACUCCAUUAGAAAAUUGUAGGUUAAAACUGGUUGUGGUGAUUUGGGUUGAUAAGUUGCUAGAUCGGAGAAUCAGAUGUUUGAUUCAUUCUUUACACAUCGUUUGAAGUUAGUAGACGCGUUCAUAUUGUCGAUCGAAAUUCGGCGGUCGAAGACGAGCCAACUAAUGUAGCACGCGUCUAGUAAUUCUUUAGCCUAUUGAUUUUGAAAUAGUUAAUUA